CAAGCAUCUGCCUGUAUAUAACCUGUAAAAUUUCGAUAACAACUAUUCCGUAUUUGUACGUAAGGAAGAUUAUUUUACUAUUUAGAAAGAAAACGGAGUUCACGACUUAGAACAAUCUGAGUAUCUCGGCGAAAGGUCGUGUCUGAAGAACGAACCAUCAUGCCGGAGACAAAGCAAACGUUAAAGGAGGUUCUACCGAAACAAGGACUCCUUUAUCAGGAAGACAUGCCGACAGUGGUGUUGUGUAAGCCUAAAAUUCUGCCUCUGAAGUCUGUAACUCUAGAGAAACUUGAGCGUAUGCAGCGUGAUGCCCAAGAGACGGUGAAACAACAGGAGUUGCAACAACCGGCCGAAAAGGACUUCUUCAGUGACUUCUCAUAACUGGGGAGUGCUCUAGUGAUUUUUUUUGGAGGAGAUUUCCGGAUUUAUUGUCUAUUGACGGGAUCUAAAAAGUUAAUAACAUGAUAAAGGUACAAUCUGACUAUAGGAUCGGUUUUUCUCAUGUUAACAGAGAUGGGUUUAAACUUAAAAAUAUAGUACCAGUAUUUUGAACAAUCAUCCUUGAUUGUACAAAUUACCAAUGUGAUCACAUAUAUAUCUUAUAGAAUAGUUAUAGUUACCAGUAUGGAAUGUGUUCAUAAAUCCGUCCAUGUGAAUUUAACAAUGUUUAUGCUUCGUAAUGUAACAAUUACCUUGCUUCAUUGAGUUUUGUGAUUCUGGUUUCCUUUAGAUUUAAGUUACCCAAUUAUUUUCAUUAAAAAUAUAAAACAAAGAAAGGAUUUCAAAUAAAAUACUGUCAAAAUAUU
Long non-coding RNA from Ostrea edulis (European flat oyster), 806 nucleotides. RefSeq lists it as uncharacterized. NCBI's taxonomy places the organism in Eukaryota, Metazoa, Mollusca, Bivalvia, Ostreida, Ostreidae. The transcript is spliced from 2 exons. The record is from RefSeq and is a predicted model, not a curated record.